RNAcentral lists this ribosomal RNA (474 nucleotides) under uncultured bacterium. RNAcentral describes it as "bacterial SSU rRNA". It matches the Rfam family "Bacterial small subunit ribosomal RNA", at positions 28 to 498 of the family's 1533-position model. The record is from RNAcentral.
GAUGAACGCUGGCGGCGUGCUUAACACAUGCAAGUCGAACGAAGCACUCUAUUUGAUUUUCUUCGGAAAUGAAGAUUUUGUGACUGAGUGGCGGACGGGUGAGUAACGCGUGGGUAACCUGCCUCAUACAGGGGGAUAACAGUUGGAAACGACUGCUAAUACCGCAUAAGCGCACAGGAUCGCAUGAUCUGGUGUGAAAAAACUCCGGUGGUAUGAGAUGGACCCCGCGUCUGAUUAGCCAGUUGGCAGGGUAACGGCCUACCAAAGCGACGAUCAGUAGCCGACCUGAGAGGGUGACCGGCCACAUUGGGACUGAGACACGGCCCAAAACUCCUACGGGAGGCAGCAGUGGGGAAUAUUGCACAAUGGGGGAAACCCUGAUGCAGCGACGCCGCGUGAGCGAAGAAGUAUUCGGUAUGUAAAGCUCUAUCAGCAGGGAGAAGAAUGACGGUACCUGACUAAGAAGCACCGGCU